This 867-nucleotide ribosomal RNA is filed under the name uncultured archaeon. RNAcentral's name for it is "bacterial SSU rRNA". It matches the Rfam family "Archaeal small subunit ribosomal RNA", at positions 1 to 878 of the family's 1478-position model. The record is from RNAcentral.
CUCCAGGUGAUCCUGCCGGACCCGACUGCUAUCAGAGUGAGAUUAAGCCAUGCGAGUUAACGUAGCAAUACGUGGCGCACGGCUCAGUAACACGUAGUCAACAUGCCCAGAGGACGUGGAUAACCUCGGGAAACUGAGUCUAAACCGCGAUAAGUGAGGAUUUCUGGAAUGGUUCCUGACUAAAAUCUAUAUGGCCUCUGGAUUGGACUGCGGCCGAUCAGGCUGUUGGUGAGGUAAUGGCCCACCAAACCUGUAACCGGUACGGGCUCUGAGAGGAGGAGCCCGGAGAUGGGCACUGAGACAAGGGCCCAGGCUCUAUGGGGCGCAGCAGGCGCGAAACCUCUGCAAUAGGCGAAAGCCUGACAGGGUUACUCUGAGUGAUUUUCGCUAAGAAAGUCUUUUGGCACCUCUAAAAAGGGUGCAGAAUAAGGGGUGGGCAAGUCUGGUGUCAGCCGCCGCAGUAAUACCAGCACCCCGAGUGGUCGGGACGAUUAUUGGGCCUAAAGCAUCCGUAGCCGGUUCUGCAAGUCCCCCGUUAAAUCCAGCUGCUCAACAGAUGGGCCGCGGAGGAUACUACAGAGCUAGGAGGCAGGAGAGGCAAGCGGUACUCAGUGGGUAGGGGUAAAAUCCGUUGAUCCAUUGAAGACCACCAGUGGCGAAGGCGGCUUGCCAGAAUGCGCUCGACGGUGAGGGAUGAAAGCUGGGGGAGCAAACCGGAUUAGAUACCCGGGUAGUCCCAGCCGUAAACGAUGCAGACUCGGUGAUGGGUUGGCUUCGCGCUAACCCAGUGCCGCAGGGAAGCCGUUAAGUCUGCCGCCUGGGUAGUACGGUCGCAAGACUGAAACUUAAAGGAUUGGCGGGGGAGCA